AAGAAAGCUUGCUUUUUUUGCUGACGAGUGGCGGACGGGUGAGUAAUGCUUGGGAAUCUGGCUUAUGGAGGGGGAUAACUGUGGGAAACUGCAGCUAAUACCGCGUAUAAUCGAGAGAUGAAAGGGUGGGACCGUAAGGCCACUUGCCAUAAGAUGAGCCCAAGUGGGAUUAGGUAGUUGGUGGGGUAAGGGCCUACCAAGCCUGCGAUCUCUAGCUGGUCUGAGAGGAUGGCCAGCCACACUGGGACUGAGACACGGCCCAGACUCCUACGGGAGGCAGCAGUGGGGAAUAUUGCGCAAUGGGGGGAACCCUGACGCAGCCAUGCCGCGUGAAUGAAGAAGGCCUUCGGGUUGUAAAGUUCUUUCGGUGAUGAGGAAGGGGUAUUAUUGAAUAGAUAAUAUCAUUGACGUUAAUUACAGAAGAAGCACCGGCUAACUCCGUGCCAGCAGCCGCGGUAAUACGGAGGGUGCGAGCGUUAAUCGGAAUAACUGGGCGUAAAGGGCACGCAGGCGGACUUUUAAGUGAGAUGUGAAAUCCCCGAGCUUAACUUGGGAACUGCAUUUCAGACUGGGAGUCUAGAGUACUUUAGGGAGGGGUAGAAUUCCACGUGUAGCGGUGAAAUGCGUAGAGAUGUGGAGGAAUACCGAAGGCGAAGGCAGCCCCUUGGGAAUGUACUGACGCUCAUGUGC
RNAcentral lists this ribosomal RNA (690 nucleotides) under Pasteurella canis. Its description in RNAcentral is "bacterial SSU rRNA". It matches the Rfam family "Bacterial small subunit ribosomal RNA", at positions 72 to 754 of the family's 1533-position model. Lineage: Bacteria; Pseudomonadati; Pseudomonadota; Gammaproteobacteria; Pasteurellales; Pasteurellaceae. The record is from RNAcentral.